CCUACGGGGGGCAGCAGUGAGGAAUAUUGGUCAAUGGGCGUAAGCCUGAACCAGCCAAGUCGCGUGAGGGAUGAAGGCUCUAUGGAUCGUAAACUUCUUUUAUAAGGGAAUAAAGUGUGGGACGUGUCCUGUUUUGUAUGUACCUUAUGAAUAAGGAUCGGCUAACUCCGUGCCAGCAGCCGCGGUAAUACGGAGGAUCCGAGCGUUAUCCGGAUUUAUUGGGUUUAAAGGGUGCGUAGGCGGAAUUUUAAGUCAGCGGUGAAAGUCCCUGGCUCAACCAGAGAAUUGCCGUUGAAACUGGGGUUCUUGAGUAGGUGAGAGGCAGGCGGAAUGCGUGGUGUAGCGGUGAAAUGCUUAGAUAUCACGCAGAACCCCGAUGGCGAAGGCAGCCUGCCGGACCAUAACUGACGCUGAUGCACGAAAGCGUGGGGAUCAAACAGGAUUAGAUACCCGAGUAGUC
RNAcentral lists this ribosomal RNA (460 nucleotides) under uncultured bacterium. RNAcentral's name for it is "partial 16S ribosomal RNA". It matches the Rfam family "Bacterial small subunit ribosomal RNA", at positions 338 to 795 of the family's 1533-position model. The record is from RNAcentral.